This 497-nucleotide ribosomal RNA is filed under the name uncultured bacterium. RNAcentral's name for it is "partial 16S ribosomal RNA". It matches the Rfam family "Bacterial small subunit ribosomal RNA", at positions 28 to 507 of the family's 1533-position model. The record is from RNAcentral.
GAUGAACGCUGGCGGCGUGCCUAAUACAUGCAAGUCGAGCGAGCAGACGAGGAGCUUGCUCCUCUGACGUUAGCGGCGGACGGGUGAGUAACACGUGGAUAACCUACCUAUAAGACUGGGAUAACUUCGGGAAACCGGAGCUAAUACCGGAUAAUAUAUUGAACCGCAUGGUUCAAUAGUGAAAGACGGUUUUGCUGUCACUUAUAGAUGGAUCCGCGCCGCAUUAGCUAGUUGGUAAGGUAACGGCUUACCAAGGCAACGAUGCGUAGCCGACCUGAGAGGGUGAUCGGCCACACUGGAACUGAGACACGGUCCAGACUCCUACGGGAGGCAGCAGUAGGGAAUCUUCCGCAAUGGGCGAAAGCCUGACAGAGCAACGCCGCGUGAGUGAUGAAGGUCUUCGGAUCGUAAAACUCUGUUAUUAGGGAAGAACAAAUGUGUAAGUAACUAUGCACGUCUUGACGGUACCUAAUCAGAAAGCCACGGCUAACUACGUG